GCUGCUCGAAAUUUUACACACCUCUUCGUGGUGAGCAGCAGGCAACGAUCUAUUAUGAUCGGCUAAGUGUGAGA
This 74-nucleotide ribozyme is filed under the name unclassified sequences. RNAcentral's name for it is "HDV ribozyme from F. prausnitzii". It matches the Rfam family "HDV ribozyme from F. prausnitzii". The record is from RNAcentral.